Molecule: ribosomal RNA, 1497 nt
Filed under: uncultured Bordetella sp.
Lineage: Bacteria; Pseudomonadati; Pseudomonadota; Betaproteobacteria; Burkholderiales; Alcaligenaceae
Description: partial 16S-23S ribosomal RNA intergenic spacer
Rfam family: Bacterial small subunit ribosomal RNA
Source: RNAcentral
UGCCAUUGCUCAGGUAACAGAGGGCUUUGAUCCUGGCUCAGAUUGAACGCUGGCGGGGAUACGCAUAUUACGGCAGUCGAACGGCAGCACGGACUUCGGUCUGGUGGCGAGUGGAACGGGUGAGUAAUGUAUCGGAACGCCCAGUAGCGGGGGAUAACUACGCGAAAGCGUAGCUAAUACCGCAUACGCCCUUCGGGAAAGCGGAAUUUCGGGCCUCGCACUAUUAGAGCGGCCGAUAUCGGAUUAGCCAGUUGGUGGGCAACGGCUCACUGAGCGGCGACGAUCCGUAGCUGGUUUGAGAGGACGACCAGCCACACUGGGACUGGAGACACGGCCCAGACUCCUACGGGAGGCAGCAGUGGGGAAUUUUGGACAAUGGGGAACCCUGAUCCAGCCAUCCCGCGUGUGCGAUGGCGGCCUUUAUUGUGGAAGCACUUUUGCGCAGGAAAGAAACGGCACGAUAAUACCCUGCAACUGACGGUACUUCCGCAGAAUAAGCACUGUUUAACUACGUGCCAGCAGCCGCGGUAAUACGUAGCGGGCAAGCAAUCGGAAUUACUGGGCGAAGCGUGCGCAGGCGGUUCGGAAAGAAAGAUGAAAUCCCAGAGCUUAACUUUGAACUGCAUUUUUAACUACCGAGCUGAGUGUGUCAGAGGGAGGUGGAAUUCCGCGCGGUAGCAGCAGAAAUGUGUAGACAUGCGGAGGAACACCGAUGGCGAAGGCAGCCUCCUGGGAUAACACCGACGCUCAUGCACGAAAGCGUGGGGGAGCAAACAGGAUUAGAUACCCUGGUAGUCCACGCCCUGCAAACGAUGUCAACUAGCUGUUGGGGCCUUCGGGCCUUGGUAGCGCAGCUAACGCGGCUGACCGCCUGGGGAGUACGGUCGCAAGAUUAAAACUCAAAGGAAUUGACGUGGGGACCCGCACAAGCGGUGGAUGAUGUGGAUUAAUUCGGAUGCAACGCGAAAAACCUUACCUACCCUUGACAUGUCUGGAAUCCCGAAGAGAUUUGGGAGUGCCUGCAAGAGAACCGGAACACAGGUGCUGUACGUGGCUGUCGUCAGCUCGUGUCGUGAGAUGUUGGGUUAAGUCCCGCAACGAGCGCAACCCUUGUCAUUAGUUGCUACGAAAGGGCACUCUAUCGAGACUGCCGGUGACAAACCGGAGGAAGGUGGGGAUGACGUCAAGUCCUCAUGGCCCUUGCGGGUAGGGCUUCACACGUCAUACAAUGGUCGGGACAGAGGGUCGCUAACCUGCGAGGGGGAGCCAAUCCCAGAAACCCGAUCGUAGUCCGGAUCGCAGUCUGCAACCUGACUGCGAAGUCGGAAUCGCUAGUAGACCGUGGGAUCAGCAUGUCGCGGUGAAUACGUUCCCGGUCUUGUACACACCGCCCGUCACACCAUGGGAUGGGUUUUACCAGAAGUAGUUAGCCUAACCGUAAGGAGGGCGAUUACCACGGUAGGAUUCAUGACUGGGGUAAAGUCGUAACAAAGGCAG